CCUACGGGAGGCAGCAGUGGGGAAUAUUGGACAAUGGGGGCAACCCUGAUCCAGCCAUGCCGCGUGAGUGAUGAAGGCCUUAGGGUUGUAAAGCUCUUUUACCCGGGACGAUAAUGACUGUACCGGGAGAAUAAGCCCCGGCUAACUUCGUGCCAGCAGCCGCGGUAAUACGAAGGGGGCUAGCGUUGCUCGGAAUCACUGGGCGUAAAGCGCACGUAGGCGGACCCUUAAGUCAGAGGUGAAAUCCCAAGGCUCAACCUUGGAACGGCCUUUGAUACUGGGGAUCUCGAGUCCGGAAGAGGUUGGUGGAACUGCGAGUGUAGAGGUGAAAUUCGUAGAUAUUCGCAAGAACACCAGUGGCGAAGGCGGCCAACUGGUCCGGCACUGACGCUGAGGUGCGAAAGCGUGGGGAGCAGACAGGAUUAGAUACCCUGGUAGUCCACGCCGUAAACGAUGGAUGCCAGCCGUUGGACAGCUUGCUGUUCAGUGGCGCAGGUAACCCUAUGAGCAUCCCGCCUGGGGAGUACGGUCGCAAGAUUAAAACUCAAAUGAAUUGACGG
RNAcentral lists this ribosomal RNA (560 nucleotides) under uncultured bacterium. RNAcentral describes it as "bacterial SSU rRNA". It matches the Rfam family "Bacterial small subunit ribosomal RNA", at positions 338 to 916 of the family's 1533-position model. The record is from RNAcentral.